This 459-nucleotide ribosomal RNA is filed under the name uncultured bacterium. RNAcentral describes it as "partial 16S ribosomal RNA". It matches the Rfam family "Bacterial small subunit ribosomal RNA", at positions 338 to 795 of the family's 1533-position model. The record is from RNAcentral.
CCUACGGGAGGCAGCAGUGAGGAAUCUUGGUCAAUGGGCGCGAGCCUGAACCAGCCAAGUAGCGUGAAGGAUGACUGCCCUACGGGCUGUAGACUUCUUUUAUAAAGGAAUAAAGUGAGGCACGUGUGCCUUUUUGUAUGUACUUUAUGAAUAAGGAUCGGCUAAGUCCGUGCCAGCAGCCGCGGUAAUAGGGGGGAUCCGAGCGUUAUCCGGUUUUAUUGGGUUUAAGGGGAGCGUGGAUGGGUGGUUAAGUCAGUUGUGAAAGUUUGCGGCUAAACCGUAAAAUUGCAAUUGAUACUGGCAGCCUUGAGUACAGUUGUGGUAGGCGGAAUUCGUGGUGUAGCGGUGAAAUGCUUAGAUAUCACGAAGAACUCCGAUUGCGAAGGCAGCUUACUAAACUGCCACUGACAUUGAUGCUCGAAAGUGUGGGUAUCAAACAGGAUUAGAUACCCCAUAGUC